AGCUUUUCGAAUCCGUGCUGAGAUUUCAUCAGAUACCAACCCAUUAGGGGUGAUCAAACUUCCAAGAUAAGUGAAGUU
Non-coding RNA from Schistosoma curassoni, 78 nucleotides. The record is from Rfam. Lineage: Eukaryota; Metazoa; Platyhelminthes; Trematoda; Strigeidida; Schistosomatidae.